This is a long non-coding RNA of Pezoporus flaviventris, 532 nucleotides long. RefSeq lists it as uncharacterized. NCBI's taxonomy places the organism in Eukaryota, Metazoa, Chordata, Aves, Psittaciformes, Psittacidae. The record is from RefSeq and is a predicted model, not a curated record. The transcript is spliced from 2 exons.
AAAUACCAGUGCUUAUUAUACUUAGUUACUGGAAAAGAAAAAAAAAAACAACUCAGGUCUGCGUGCCCUCUUCAAAAGAAAGGUUUGUUGUGAGAGCAUUGGAUAAAUAUAUAUACACACAUAAAUGUUGAUUUAAUACUGUAUAUAUAUAUAUAUUUAUUUAAGGGGAGGAAAUAAACUAAAGGCAGUUUUAGCCAUGGGCUUUGCUGAAGGAAACCUCCAUUCUGUUGUUGAGCAGGAGGAUAACAGAGGCAGAGCCCGAGAUCAGCCCGGCUCGGUGGCAGGGUAGCAGAGAGAUGCUGGAGAGGAACAGCCAGGCAUUGCCCUGCAGAACAACAAAAAUAGAUCAACUCAGAAACAACCAGACCCAUGUGGCAACCUUCUGGGAGUGACUUUGAGAGCCUCCAAAGUUGGCUUUUUGUUGUUGGUUUAAGUCUUUGCAACAGGUCUGAGGUAUUAAAAAAAUAUCAAAAGAAAGAAAAUUGGUGCAAUUCCCCCCAAAGUAUUUAAUAAAUAUUUCUGUGUAAGAACA